Molecule: transfer RNA, 72 nt
Filed under: Bos taurus (domestic cattle)
Lineage: Eukaryota; Metazoa; Chordata; Mammalia; Artiodactyla; Bovidae
Also listed under: 4 other names
Rfam family: tRNA
About the family: Transfer RNA (tRNA) molecules are approximately 80 nucleotides in length.
Source: Rfam by way of RNAcentral
UCCCUGGUGGUCCAGUGGCUAAGGCUCUGUGCUCCCAAUGCAGAGGCCUGUGUUCAAUCCCUGGUCAGGGAA